UAGAAGAAGUCAUCCUAGUGGAAAUCAGAGGAGAGUGGGUGGAGAGGAAGCUGUUGUUGGUCCCAUCCAAGACCUCCAGACCCCCUCGCAGCAGGGGUGAGAGAAUGAAACCGAGAAGUUAAUUGGCGGUGAGAGCUUCUCACGGAUCUGACAGGGGCUUUGCUCUCACUGAGAGGUGGGGGUUCUCUGUCCCUCCACUUUGGAUGCUGGUGGCGUCAGGAAUGUUUGGACUAAUAGAGCUCGGCAGAAGGGAUGCUGUAUGACUCAGUCUGGAUCAUAAAAGGCUGUGCAACUUCUACCUCUCUCGCUGGAACCUGCUUGCUCGCAGCCCCAAGCCUCCAUGCAAGACAUCCAGCUACGCUGAGGCCACCCUGGAGUGAGGAAGCCCAGCCACAUGGAGAAAGUGGUUACGGCAGGCAUGUCAGCAGGCCUGGUGUCUGGGUCAUUCCAGCCCAGGCCCCAGCUGGGGUUAGGCAUCCUUCCUGCUUUAGACAGGCUCAGUGGGCUCAGGUGACGUAUUCAAGGUGACGCAGCUCUCCUGACCUCAGGUCUAACGUCACAACUACUUGCUGAAGAUCUGGACUCCAGUCUGGACUCUGACACUGGACAAGCACUGUGAUGUGCUCUCAGUUUCCCAGCCUGUGAAGUGAGAGCAUUGGUAUGAACUGGCUGACAAAAUUCGGAUGCCCAACGUCUUCCCCAGUGGGGUGCUGGCCGUCGAGAGUGUCAGAGUCAGACCUGAGAAUGAACAGUGAGGGGUUGCUAUGGAGCCCUGCUCUGAUCUCCGUGCAGCCCACCUCCUCCCCAGGGCCAAAAACCAACCUUUUUAUCUCCCAACUUGGGCUGAUGACUCGUGCUUUCUGCCAACAUAAAUAUUUAAUUCCGGUGCCCAGCACAGAGAGACCGCCAUGGUAUUAAGGACUCCAGUCCUGGUUUCUACUUUCAAAACAACCCAGGCCGAGGCAUGACUGGGAGGCUGUGCUUGGGACCAAAGGUGAGGCGGCCCGUGGCUGUACUCCAAACAUCAGCUCCUACCACUUGCACUCCCUUCAACUCCUCCGACUGCAUGAGCACACAGGUAAAGAAUCAGGGGAGUGGGGCGGGGGGCCAGGGCAGCCAGCAGAGAGCUCUGGGGUCCUGGGGGAAGCCCCAAUCUGGAACCAACAUGGGUGCUAAGUUCAAGCACAGGCAACAACAAUGUAGAAUAAGUACUAGACAUCUACUGCUGUGCCUGUCAAAGCCCCCCCCCCCAUUCACUCAUAUGUGAACAUUACUAUAAUCUUCAUAGUGCCAACAAUACCAGACCUCAGCAAUGAAUGAUUAUAGUAAUGGUAUUUAAAAUUAAAUAAAUAUAAAUUGAUUUGAAAUUAAAGUGUGCUGCAGUAUCCGACUGAGGAGUGAAUGAUCCUCACGGCUGUGCCACCCACUGUAUGCCUGCUCCCAGCAGAACACCUGCUAGGUGCCCGGCACUCUCCCAAGCAGGAUGAAAAUACUUAAUGGGCAAGAAGAGUGUGGGCCUUGCUUUCCAGGAGCUCACAGAAGAGCAGGGAGAUGGAGAUGGUCAAGUGAACAAGAAAUGGGAUGCAGUGCUAGGAGCACCUCAAUAAAAAUUAAUUAUUGUCUUUACA
Molecule: long non-coding RNA, 1628 nt
Organism: Canis lupus familiaris (dog)
Lineage: Eukaryota; Metazoa; Chordata; Mammalia; Carnivora; Canidae
Exons: 3
Source: RefSeq, a predicted model, not a curated record